AGAGUAAAAAUGCGUUCGCUAUAUCGGUUUUGCCGGUAUUACAGUGCUGAUUGGACGGGGAGUUGCCGAUCAGACGAAAGGUCGUAUGACUUGCGGUUCGCAUUUUGCAUCCCGCU
This 116-nucleotide non-coding RNA is filed under the name uncultured Ruminococcus sp. RNAcentral describes it as "THF riboswitch". It matches the Rfam family "THF (Tetrahydrofolate) riboswitch aptamer". Rfam says of the family: THF riboswitch presents a pseudoknot that joins P1-P2 and the loop of P3 and two THF binding. The record is from RNAcentral. Lineage: Bacteria; Bacillati; Bacillota; Clostridia; Eubacteriales; Oscillospiraceae.